UACGUCUCUGAAAAAGAUUAAUUAAGCUUCAAUUGUUUCUUCUAACAUUCAUUGUGGAAACGAGCACAUCAAAAAGGAGAAACACUGUAAAGGAAAUGGAUACGUUAUAUGGGUGAAAUGGAUGUAAUGAAAAGUCCGCGAGGUCUACGAUAUAUCACACCAAACUUUUGGCAGGCCAAACCAACGAAAUUAUUCCGAUGAAAUUAAGGACAGAUCCCCUAUAACGAAAUACAACGAGGUGAUACAGGGCGCGAAACAUGUGUUAUUUACCUGAAGUUCCACGAGAUAUAAAUAUCGAUUCAGAUCCUCCGAAUAUUUCAUUACUGACGCUUUGCAUAGAGCCAGCUGUUCCUCUUGCGUUUUAAAUCUGGGAGGUUGCAACCCGUGUAUCCCAAGGGCUAUUCUCUCUUUCAGGGUGAAUGCCAAGCCCUGUUUAUUAUCAUGGAAUAUUCACGCCGUGAGAUCCAAAGAAGAAUAAUGGUAGUACCUUGUUCAGUCGGGGAUCUCGGAGAUGUCCGAUACCCUUCACCAUGUUUAUCGGUAUCACAUCCCCCG
Molecule: long non-coding RNA, 555 nt
Organism: Wasmannia auropunctata (little fire ant)
Lineage: Eukaryota; Metazoa; Arthropoda; Insecta; Hymenoptera; Formicidae
Exons: 4
Source: RefSeq, a predicted model, not a curated record